UACGUAGGGUGCAAGCAUCAAUCGGAAUUACUGGGCGUAAAGCGUGCGCAGGCGGUUGUGCAAGACAGAUGUGAAAUCCCCGGGCUUAACCUCGGAACUGCAUUUGUGACUGCACGGCUAGAGUGUGUCAGAGGGGGGUAGAAUUCCACGUGUAGCAGUGAAAUGCGUAGAUAUGUGGAGGAAUACCGAUGGCGAAGGCAGCCCCCUGGGAUAACACUGACGCUCAUGCACGAAAGCGUGGGGAGCAAACAGG
RNAcentral lists this ribosomal RNA (253 nucleotides) under uncultured bacterium. RNAcentral describes it as "partial 16S ribosomal RNA". It matches the Rfam family "Bacterial small subunit ribosomal RNA", at positions 524 to 776 of the family's 1533-position model. The record is from RNAcentral.